AAAUUGAAGAGUUUGAUCAUGGCUCAGAUUGAACGCUGGGGGCAGGCCUAACACAUGCAAGUCGAACGGUAACAGGAAGCAGCUUGCUGCUUUGCUGACGAGUGGCGGACGGGUGAGUAAUGUCUGGGAAACUGCCUGAUGGAGGGGGAUAACUACUGGAAACGGUGGCUAAUACCGCAUAACGUCGCAAGACCAAAGAGGGGGACCUUCGGGCCUCUUGCCAUCAGAUGUGCCCAGAUGGGAUUAGCUAGUUGGUGAGGUAACGGCUCACCAAGGCGACGAUCCCUAGCUGGUCUGAGAGGAUGGCCAGCCACACUGGAACUGAGACACGGUCCAGACUCCUACGGGAGGCAGCAGUGGGGAAUAUUGCACAAUGGGCGCAAGCCUGAUGCAGCCAUGCCGCGUGUAUGAAGAAGGCCUUCGGGUUGUAAAGUACUUUCAGCGGGGAGGAAGGUGUUGUGGUUAAUAACCGCAGCAAUUGACGUUACCCGCAGAAGAAGCACCGGCUAACUCCGUGCCAGCAGCCGCGGUAAUACGGAGGGUGCAAGCGUUAAUCGGAAUUACUGGGCGUAAAGCGCACGCAGGCGGUCUGUCAAGUCGGAUGUGAAAUCCCCGGGCUCAACCUGGGAACUGCAUUCGAAACUGGCAG
This 649-nucleotide ribosomal RNA is filed under the name Salmonella enterica. RNAcentral describes it as "bacterial SSU rRNA". It matches the Rfam family "Bacterial small subunit ribosomal RNA", at positions 1 to 639 of the family's 1533-position model. RNAcentral also lists the same sequence under 2 other names. Lineage: Bacteria; Pseudomonadati; Pseudomonadota; Gammaproteobacteria; Enterobacterales; Enterobacteriaceae. The record is from RNAcentral.